RNAcentral lists this long non-coding RNA (337 nucleotides) under Olea europaea (common olive). RNAcentral describes it as "long non-coding RNA (OEUR_LNC015409)". Lineage: Eukaryota; Viridiplantae; Streptophyta; Magnoliopsida; Lamiales; Oleaceae. The record is from RNAcentral.
ACUACAAAUUGCAGACAUCUUGACUAAGGCUUUGAGUUCUCAAAGUUUUUACUUUUGCAUGUCCAAGAUGGGAGUAAUGGAUAUAUACUCUCCAUCUUGCGGGGGGCUAUUAAAGUUAGAAGAUAGCUCAGCUGGAACACUGGAAGGAAGCAGGGUCGAAGAUGGCGCAGCUGAAAUAUUGGCAAGAAGGAAACCACGUGGACUUACUGUACAGCUGGAGAAAUAAUCACAUGGAAUUGAUGACAGAGCAAUGGCAGAAUAAUCUAGAAAGAAAUUGGUUGGGCAAGUUAGAUUUGUUGACAGCAACCUCUCUCUCUCUGUGUAAAUUUGUUAGGAA